GCGCUCGUAGCUCAGCUGGAUAGAGCACAAGACUACGAAUCUUGGGGUCGGGAGUUCGAAUCUCUCCGAGCGCGCCA
RNAcentral lists this transfer RNA (77 nucleotides) under Geotalea daltonii FRC-32. RNAcentral's name for it is "tRNA-Arg (ACG) (tRNA-Arg-ACG-1-1)". It matches the Rfam family "tRNA". From Rfam's summary of the family: Transfer RNA (tRNA) molecules are approximately 80 nucleotides in length. Their secondary structure includes four short double-helical elements and three loops (D, anti-codon, and T loops). RNAcentral also lists the same sequence under 1 other name. The record is from RNAcentral. Lineage: Bacteria; Pseudomonadati; Thermodesulfobacteriota; Desulfuromonadia; Geobacterales; Geobacteraceae.